AGAACGAACGCUGGCGGCAUGCCUAACACAUGCAAGUCGAACGAGACCUUCGGGUCUAGUGGCGCACGGGUGCGUAACGCGUGGGAAUCUGCCCUUAGGUACGGAAUAACAGUGAGAAAUUACUGCUAAUACCGUAUGAUGUCUUCGGACCAAAGAUUUAUCGCCUAGGGAUGAGCCCGCGUUGGAUUAGCUAGUUGGUGGGGUAAAGGCCUACCAAGGCGACGAUCCAUAGCUGGUCUGAGAGGAUGAUCAGCCACACUGGGACUGAGACACGGCCCAGACUCCUACGGGAGGCAGCAGUGGGAAUAUUGGACAAUGGGCGAAAGCCUGAUCCAGCAAUGCCGCGUGAGUGAAGAAGGCCUUAGGGUUGUAAAGCUCUUUACCCGGGAAGAUAAUGACUGUACCGGGAGAAUAAGCCCGGCUAACUCCGCGCCAGCAGCCGC
Molecule: ribosomal RNA, 443 nt
Filed under: uncultured bacterium
Lineage: Bacteria
Description: SSU rRNA
Rfam family: Bacterial small subunit ribosomal RNA
Source: RNAcentral